Molecule: small nuclear RNA, 56 nt
Organism: Panthera pardus (leopard)
Lineage: Eukaryota; Metazoa; Chordata; Mammalia; Carnivora; Felidae
Source: Ensembl
UCUUCUUUGGAGAAAAAUUAGAAUAAUACAGAGAAGAUUAGCAUGGCCCCUGCAAA